This 42-nucleotide non-coding RNA is filed under the name Plasmodium falciparum 3D7. The record is from RNAcentral. Lineage: Eukaryota; Apicomplexa; Aconoidasida; Haemosporida; Plasmodiidae.
UUCUUUUUGUGCUUCUUCUAUAUCUUUUUCUACUUUGUUAAU